UGGGGAAUAUUGGACAAUGGGGGCAACCCUGAUCCAGCCAUGCCGCGUGUGUGAAGAAGGCCUUCGGGUUGUAAAGCACUUUAAGCAGGGAGGAAGGCUCGUACGUUAACACCGUGCGGGAGUGACGUUACCUGCAGAAUAAGCACCGGCAAACUCCGUGCCAGCAGCCGCGGUAAUACGGAGGGUGCGAGCGUUAAUCGGAAUUACUGGGCGUAAAGCGCACGUAGGCGGUUCGUUAAGUCGGAUGUGAAAUCCCCGGGCUCAACCUGGGAGCUGCAUUCGAUACUGGCGAACUUGAGUACGAGAGAGGGGGGUGGAAUUCCAGGUGUAGCGGUGAAAUGCGUAGAUAUCUGGAGGAACAUCAGUGGCGAAGGCGGCCCCCUGGCUCGAUACUGACGCUGAGGUGCGAAAGCGUGGGGAGCAAACAGG
Molecule: ribosomal RNA, 429 nt
Filed under: uncultured bacterium
Lineage: Bacteria
Description: bacterial SSU rRNA
Rfam family: Bacterial small subunit ribosomal RNA
Source: RNAcentral